RNAcentral lists this ribosomal RNA (511 nucleotides) under Candida albicans. Its description in RNAcentral is "eukaryotic LSU rRNA". The stretch from base 143 to 296 matches the Rfam family "5.8S ribosomal RNA". The record is from RNAcentral. Lineage: Eukaryota; Fungi; Ascomycota; Pichiomycetes; Serinales; Debaryomycetaceae.
GGCAACUGAUGCUUAUUGCACCACAUGUGUUUUUCUUUGAAACAAACUUGCUUUGGCGGUGGGCCCAGCCUGCCGCCAGAGGUCUAAACUUACAACCAAUUUUUUAUCAACUUGUCACACCAGAUUAUUACUUAAUAGUCAAAACUUUCAACAACGGAUCUCUUGGUUCUCGCAUCGAUGAAGAACGCAGCGAAAUGCGAUACGUAAUAUGAAUUGCAGAUAUUCGUGAAUCAUCGAAUCUUUGAACGCACAUUGCGCCCUCUGGUAUUCCGGAGGGCAUGCCUGUUUGAGCGUCGUUUCUCCCUCAAACCGCUGGGUUUGGUGUUGAGCAAUACGACUUGGGUUUGCUUGAAAGACGGUAGUGGUAAGGCGGGAUCGCUUUGACAAUGGCUUAGGUCUAACCAAAAACAUUGCUUGCGGCGGUAACGUCUACCACGUAUAUCUUCAAACUUUGACCUCAAAUCAGGUAGGACUACCCGCUGAACUUAAGCAUAUCAAAGGCCGGGAGGAA